Camellia sinensis is the source of this 266-nucleotide non-coding RNA. The record is from RefSeq and is a predicted model, not a curated record. Lineage: Eukaryota; Viridiplantae; Streptophyta; Magnoliopsida; Ericales; Theaceae.
ACUCUUUGUUCUUGGUUUUAUGGCAACUUGGUUGAGAUUUGAGUGCACUGUUUGAUCAAAUACAAGGUAGUGCAACCAGCGAGAAAGAGAUCGGUAUCACUCAUGAGAUUCGAGGGCACUGUUUGAUCAAAUGCAAGGCCUGAGAUUGAGGCAUAUUACUUGGAAUUAAUCUUCUCCUGUCCAAUCUUGGGAUUAAUCUAGACAAGGAUGGCCCCCAAAGUCAUCAGGUACCAAGUUGAGAGCUGCAAGUUGUCUCUUUUCCAACA